GACCCUAUAGAGUUUUAUAUUUAAUUUAUAAAUUAUUUUUUAGGAUUUAUUAUUAAUUUAUAAAUUAAAUAUUUGAUUGGGGUGAUUGAAAAAUUUAAAUAACUUUUUUUAUAUUUAAACAUUAAUUUAUGAUUGUUUGAUCCAUUAUUUAUGAUUAUAAGAUUAAAUUACCUUAGGGAUAACAGCGUAAUUUUUUUUGAGAGUUCAAAUCGAAAAGAAAGAUUGCGACCUCGAUGUUGGAUUAAAGUUUAUUUUUGGUGUAGAAGCUAAAUUUAUUGGGUCUGUUCGACCUUUAAAAUUUUACAUGAUCUG
This 312-nucleotide ribosomal RNA is filed under the name Pharaxonotha sp. D0288. RNAcentral describes it as "partial 16S large subunit ribosomal RNA". The stretch from base 178 to 312 matches the Rfam family "Bacterial large subunit ribosomal RNA", at positions 2473 to 2607 of the family's 2925-position model. The record is from RNAcentral. Lineage: Eukaryota; Metazoa; Arthropoda; Insecta; Coleoptera; Erotylidae.